ACGGUCUUAUGCACCACAGCGCAAGAAAAAAAUUUUAUCUUGACGACCUCAGAGCAGGCGAGACUACCCGCUGAAUUUAAGCAUAUUACUAAGCGGAGGAAAAGAAACUAACCAGGAUUUCCUUAGUAGCGGCGAGCGAACAGGAAUCAGCCCAGCACCGAAUCCCGCGGUUCUGCCGCCGGGAAAUGUGGUGUUCGGGAGGGUCCAAUUCUCCCCGCGGUGUCGGACCGCGUCCAAGUCCAUCUUGAAUGGGGCCACUUACCCGUAGAGGGUGCCAGGCCCGUAGUGACCGGGACGCGCCGUGGGAGGACCUCUCCUUAGAGUCGGGUUGCUUGAGAGUGCAGCUCUAAGUUGGUGGUAAACUCCAUCUAAGGCUAAAUAUGACCACGAGACCGAUAGCGAACAAGUACCGUGAGGGAAAAUUGAAAAGAACUUUGAAGAGAGAGUUCAAGAGUACGUGAAACCGU
RNAcentral lists this ribosomal RNA (467 nucleotides) under Salmonella enterica subsp. enterica serovar Corvallis. RNAcentral's name for it is "partial 23S ribosomal RNA". It matches the Rfam family "Eukaryotic large subunit ribosomal RNA", at positions 1 to 408 of the family's 3401-position model. Lineage: Bacteria; Pseudomonadati; Pseudomonadota; Gammaproteobacteria; Enterobacterales; Enterobacteriaceae. The record is from RNAcentral.